GUGUGUGUGUGUGUGUGUGUGUGUGUGUGUGUGUGUGUUUCUGUCUGGUGGUUUCAUGUGUAGUUUAUGCGCUGAUUUGCCGGUUCGUUGUCCGUCGCUCCGUUGGUUGCUGUGCGCAUAAAAUUAUUAGAACGAUAUAAUUUCAUUAUCAGACAGAGAGGCACACAGGCACAGGCACAGACGGACACAGGCCACAAAGAGAAAGAGCCACAGGGGCAGAGGGGCAAAGACAGCGACAGCGACAGCCACAGAGGCAACCGAAUGCUAAGAAUGCGCGGAAAGUUCAUUGGCACACAACAGGGCGUAUGAGUGUUUUUUUCCUCUUUCCUCUUGUGUGUGUUUUUUUCGCUGACUUUGCGAGCAACAACAACA
Drosophila subobscura is the source of this 372-nucleotide long non-coding RNA. RefSeq lists it as uncharacterized. The record is from RefSeq and is a predicted model, not a curated record. NCBI's taxonomy places the organism in Eukaryota, Metazoa, Arthropoda, Insecta, Diptera, Drosophilidae. The transcript has 2 exons.